Molecule: ribosomal RNA, 253 nt
Filed under: uncultured bacterium
Lineage: Bacteria
Description: partial 16S ribosomal RNA
Rfam family: Bacterial small subunit ribosomal RNA
Source: RNAcentral
UACGUAGGGUCCGAGCGUUGUCCGGAAUUACUGGGCGUAAAGAGCUCGUAGGUGGUUUGUCGCGUUGUCCGUGAAAACUCACAGCUCAACUGUGGGCGUGCGGGCGAUACGGGCAGACUGGAGUACUGCAGGGGAGACUGGAAUUCCUGGUAUAGCGGUGGAAUGCGCAGAUAUCAGGAGGAACACCGGUGGCGAAGGCGGGUCUCUGGGCAGUAACUGACGCUGAGGAGCGAAAGCGUGGGGAGCGAACAGG